Molecule: long non-coding RNA, 1923 nt
Filed under: Capra hircus (goat)
Lineage: Eukaryota; Metazoa; Chordata; Mammalia; Artiodactyla; Bovidae
Description: lncRNA (ENSCHIG00010020915.1)
Source: RNAcentral
UCCCCAAUCUAUCCUGAGGUUUAGCUUCAGAAAGAAUAACUAGCAAGUCUCCUUCUCUAACUGCUGUCUGAUAGGAACAAACAAGAUGCUCUUGCGCGAGCUGGCAUCACGAACAAGGCAAAUGUAACCUUUCUGGGGCUGUUGACUCACAGCAGUCAUCCAUGGGCCCCCCACAAUCUGCUUGGUGACACAGAUGCUGCUGUCCAUCAUUCAUUCCUCCCAUGGGGGCAAGAGCAGGUCCAGCCCAUGGCUCAUCAGUGAAUACAAACACCCUGGGAUUCACUCUAACCAUCUGAAGAUUCUGGUUGAACCUUCAUCUGUACAACCAGCUGCCAUUUAUUCACGGCCUUCUACGUAUAACACCUAUGGGAGGUUUUCUGUUCAUAACCUGUUUGUUGAAACAGCAGGGCUUGUGGGGUAUGAUCCUAACUCUUGAGCACUUCCAGGACUGGUCUUCCUUGUCUCUGAAUGAAGGUCAGACAGGCCCUAGAGCUCAUCUGCUUAUCUGCAGGUAAGAAAAACAUGACGUCUUGAUCCCCCAAACCAUUUCAGUUCAGUAAUGGAUAUGUCUAGUCCAGUGCAAGGGUCAGACCUCUGGACUUCACUACCUCAGGUUCGCUGCUGGCAGAAGCAGCUGGGAAAGGACCAGAGCAGCUUCUAGAGUUUACUCUAAGCGAGUGGGAACCCUGACCUCCAACUCCUUCCCCAGCCAGCCACUCUGCCCACCUCCCAGGGUUGGCAAGGGCACAGAGGGGCGGUGAUGGGGAGGAAAAGGUCUCACUUGACCGGGACUGCUGUGAGUUGAUUUCUGCUCGCUUCCACUCCCUCCUCGGCUGUUAGCAUGAACUUUGGACCUGUCUCCAUUGGCUCCUAAACAGAACAAAACCUUUAUAGGAAGAAGGGAAAAAAGACCUCCUCUGCCUUCAGACACAGCCUUAUGGGUGCUCAGCUUACUGUCUUUUGCAAGUUAGAAAAACACUUCCCUGGUGGCCCAGUGGCUAAGACUGUCUUCCCAAUGCAGGAGGCCUAGUUCGAUCCCUGGUCNNNNNNNNNNNNNNNNNNNNNNNNNNNNNNNNNNNNNNNNNNNNNNNNNNNNNNNNNNNNNNCAACUUAGAAUUCUCAUGCUGCAACCAGAGAUCUUGCAUGCUGCAACAAAGACAGGAGAUCCCACGUGCCGAAACUAAGACCCAGCGCAGCCAGAUAAAUAAAUAUUCGUUUUUUAAAAAAGCCUUCUCCUUCUACAUUUUUGCAAGCACAUAGUGGUGUGCCCACCCUGAGAGAGGCGUGUGGCUCUGCAUUCUGCAAAAUGCACUCUCUUGAAACUUUGUCCGAUGCACUGAAUGUCUGCCUGUCUGUGGGGACCCUGUGUGCACAAUCUCUCACCUGUGCUUCUCCGGCACCAGACUUGCCUGUCUAAUUGUGCAGUGAUGAUGUUCCCUCUGGCUUUGACUCAGUGUGGUUCACCUCCACAAACUGGGUCUCACCAUCCCUCCAAGAAGCCUUCUUAGGCAAAGCGUCUUUCAUAUAUCUCUAGGUCAGCACGUUCUCUCUCACUCUCCCCCCACCUUCUUCUCCUUCACCAAGGAAAACUCUGGACUUUUGUGGGGGUGCAGCUGCUUUUCAGACUGCAUCCAUCUUCAGUCGGCCUUCCACCCCUUACAUUUCUCAGGCACAGGUCAGACUCUAGUCCACAAGAAUUCCAUUCUCCAUGGGACACAGAUCAUGCUCGCAAGUGUUCUCCUCAAAGCUCUUCCACUAGGCUUUAGAUCAGGGAACACGGUCCUCUUACCCCCAUGGAGUGGGGAGAAUAAAAUGCCAUAGCUCUCCAUCAUCUCAUUGUAGAGAAAUCCUCCUCUCUUAUUCCUACUCUCUUCAUAUGUUACCUUGAAUCCUCUUGGACCCUCAAGUUAGGUGAGAGGCUAA